GCAUCAUGUGGCAUAUCAUGUUUGUUCUUCCAUUUUUUGUUUAAUGUACAACUUCCUAGGAAUGGUAUUCUACUUGAGUAUAUACCACACAAACUGCGGGAUUUUUGUUUUGGUCAGUUUGUUUUUCCAAGUGUUAGUCAACUGCAGAAAGCCUACAAAAUGGAACUGCUGACAUAUUAAGUGAGCUUUAACAUGAUGAUAAUGUGACAGCAUGGUAUACAGGUGAAUAACCAGUUAGUUCUCAAGUUACAACUGGAAACGUAUUUAGAUAAGUUAGUUGUUCUAGAGGAAACUGGAGUAGAUGUACUUCUUUCAAAAUCGAAUAAAACAAAAAAAAAAUCAUCAUGCUCCUUGAAUCUCUGUUGCCUUUGAUUAACUUGAAGUCUUUUAGACAAUU
Erpetoichthys calabaricus (reedfish) is the source of this 397-nucleotide long non-coding RNA. RefSeq lists it as uncharacterized. NCBI's taxonomy places the organism in Eukaryota, Metazoa, Chordata, Cladistia, Polypteriformes, Polypteridae. The transcript has 2 exons. The record is from RefSeq and is a predicted model, not a curated record.